Molecule: long non-coding RNA, 544 nt
Organism: Pyrus x bretschneideri (Chinese white pear)
Lineage: Eukaryota; Viridiplantae; Streptophyta; Magnoliopsida; Rosales; Rosaceae
Exons: 2
Source: RefSeq, a predicted model, not a curated record
UCUAAUAUUUUCUCGUAGUGCGCAUCAAUACAAACUUGUGAUCGCAAACAUAACAAAAUUUAGAAUUAUAAUAAAGAUUCCACGGAAGUACAAAGUUUAAGCAUAGUAUGAUAAUUUUGUAUUACUAUGACUGAUUACCUUUUGCUGUCCGUUUACCUUUAUUUUUCAUUUCUAUUUUAAAUUUCUUUAUUUCUUUUGCUUUUCUUUUUGUCUCUCCUCCCUCCUGCAUCCUCUCUCCCUCUUCUCUUAGCGAGCCGCCGACUGCCGACGCAACGGCUCUGUCGUCCACGGGUCACCAAAGGCUGUCAAAUUACACAUCCAGAAUGCUCUUGCCGUCCUUUAUCCAAUCCCCAAGAAUUGGACCUCGACCCAAGAGGUAGAAAUGAUCCUCUUCUCGUGGUCUGUUCUCCAAUGUAAGUUCUUUUUCCAAAUUUUCAACUUUCAGUUUUGGGAUUGAUUCUUGAUUUCGAAUUUUAUUCGGUUUUCUGUAUGAAUGUCGGAGAUGAGACUUAUGGUAAUUGUUGUAUCUGUGAAGUUUAUGAAA